GAUUAACUCUGAGCUAACAUCUGCCACCAGGCCUCCUCUUCUCACUGAGGAAGCCUGGCCCUGAGCUAACAUCUGUGCCCAUCUUCCUCUACUUUAUAUGUGGGAUGCCCACCACACCAUGGCUUGAUGAGCAGUGUGUAUGUCUGCACCUGGGAUCCGAACCUGCGAACACUAGGCCACUGAAGCGGAACAUGCAAACUUAACUGCUGCGCCACCAGACCGGCCCCAUUUAACUGAACCUUAAAUUGAGUGAAAAAGUAAAGGUGCUGCAUGAUGUCUACCUUAAAGAAUUGCUGUGCAGAUUAAAUGUGAUAAUGAUGCUUAAGUAUUUGCAUCUUGUGAGUACUCAACAAAGGCUGCCCAUGUUCCUUGGCUUGCGUCCCCUUCCUCCACCUUCAAAAUCAGCAAAGACCUCGCUGAGAAUCUGAGGAGAGCUAUGGAUCUCUUCUCCGAAAAAUGCG
This 461-nucleotide long non-coding RNA is filed under the name Equus caballus (horse). RNAcentral describes it as "lncRNA (ENSECAG00000051741.1)". The record is from RNAcentral. Lineage: Eukaryota; Metazoa; Chordata; Mammalia; Perissodactyla; Equidae.